Molecule: long non-coding RNA, 319 nt
Organism: Dama dama (fallow deer)
Lineage: Eukaryota; Metazoa; Chordata; Mammalia; Artiodactyla; Cervidae
Exons: 3
Source: RefSeq, a predicted model, not a curated record
CAAACCCUUUAAGGAGCUGAUGAAAGUGAUGAACCUUUGCACUAGAAAAAUGUACACAUUCGAAGAGGAUUUCAAACCUCAGAAAUACCCCAAUGUUUAUCUCCAAUGAUGGAAGAGGAAGAUUAAAACAAUAAUCUGCAGAAAAACCCUGACUUUCCAGAGAUCUAAAGUGUAAUGCAACCGUAUGUGGUUGAGAAGUUCGAAUCUUGGCUGCCUUCGCCCCUCUGCACAAACAGAAACCCCGGUUUCGGGGACCGUGAUCUCAUCGUGUCGCUCUCACUUUUGAAGGUCUGUUAAAAGUCUGGGGCCUCUUAUCUCA